GCAGCCGCGGUAAUACGUAGGUGGCAAGCGUUAUCCGGAUUUACUGGGUGUAAAGGGCGAGUAGGCGGGACGGCAAGUCAGAUGUGAAAUACCGGGGCUCAACUCCGGGGCUGCAUUUGAAACUGUCGUUCUUGAGUGGUGGAGAGGCAAGUGGAAUUCCCGGUGUAGCGGUGGAAUGCGUAGAUAUCGGGAGGAACACCAGUGGCGAAGGCGACUUGCUGGACACUAACUGACGCUGAGGAGCGAAAGCGUGGGGAGCAAACAGGAUUAGAUACCCC
This 278-nucleotide ribosomal RNA is filed under the name uncultured Porphyromonadaceae bacterium. Its description in RNAcentral is "partial 16S ribosomal RNA". It matches the Rfam family "Bacterial small subunit ribosomal RNA", at positions 511 to 788 of the family's 1533-position model. Lineage: Bacteria; Pseudomonadati; Bacteroidota; Bacteroidia; Bacteroidales; Porphyromonadaceae. The record is from RNAcentral.